AUCCAGCUGACGAGUCCCAGAUGGGACAAAACUUACGUUCUGUAU
Molecule: non-coding RNA, 45 nt
Filed under: Schistosoma mansoni
Lineage: Eukaryota; Metazoa; Platyhelminthes; Trematoda; Strigeidida; Schistosomatidae
Source: RNAcentral